This is a non-coding RNA of Cinara cedri, 533 nucleotides long. NCBI's taxonomy places the organism in Eukaryota, Metazoa, Arthropoda, Insecta, Hemiptera, Aphididae. The record is from the annotation of a GenBank genome assembly.
CCCCUCCCCCCCUUCCGAAUCGUGUAAAUCUGACACGACCUGCCACCAAGUUUCCUACCCAGGUGUAGCCGUAUCGCGAUAAGCACUCAACAAUAUUAAUUGUUUUUGCGUUUUGCGUUUCUAUAACGAAAAUGUUCGCAAAGUUCGCUGUUUUAUAACCAUACACGACGGUAUCGCACACAGAACCGGAUGAAACGCGGAAUCGAUAAUGUAUAAUGUAUGUAGGUAUUGCGUUUGUCAGAAUCGAAAGAACGGACGGAAAUGAUAAUUGGUCAAAACCAAACCGCGUAUAAACGCGUUUGAGAGCCAUAUUUACCGACGCAAACCGCAAAACGGACAGAGUAGAGACGAAUAAAAAUAUACUAGAAAUCGGUUUCGUCUCGGGGCGGAGUAAUAGGUAAUAUUGUUGUAUACGAGUGUAAAAUUGCAUUUUCGCGUAUACAGGCAUCAUUAAUUGUUCUGCGAUUUUUUUCCCGGUUAUUCGUCCGAAAAUCUAAACUACUAUAAAAUACUUAUUGGGCGUUAUAAUUAGA